GACAGAGGGUGCAAACGUUGCUCGGAAUUACUGGGCGUAAAGCGCGUGUAGGCGGACCAACAAGUCAGGCGUGAAAUCCCUGGGCUCAACCCAGGAACUGCACCUGAAACUGUCGGUCUUGAGUGGUGGAGAGGGAAGCAGAAUUCCUGGUGUAGAGGUGAAAUUCGUAGAUAUCAGGAGGAACACCGGUGGCGAAGGCGGCUUCCUGGACACUAACUGACGCUGAGACGCGAAAGCGUGGGGAGCAAACAGG
This 253-nucleotide ribosomal RNA is filed under the name uncultured bacterium. RNAcentral's name for it is "partial 16S ribosomal RNA". It matches the Rfam family "Bacterial small subunit ribosomal RNA", at positions 524 to 776 of the family's 1533-position model. The record is from RNAcentral.